RNAcentral lists this ribosomal RNA (253 nucleotides) under uncultured bacterium. RNAcentral's name for it is "partial 16S ribosomal RNA". It matches the Rfam family "Bacterial small subunit ribosomal RNA", at positions 524 to 776 of the family's 1533-position model. The record is from RNAcentral.
UACAGAGGUGGCAAGCGUUGUUCGGAAUUACUGGGCGUAAAGGGCGCGUAGGCGGCUUGGUCAGUCCCGUGUGAAAUCCCUCGGCUCAACUGAGGAACUGCACGGGAAACUGCCUAGCUUGAGUUCGGGAGAGGGAAGCGGAAUUCCGGGUGUAGCGGUGAAAUGCGUAGAUAUCGGGAGGAACACCAGUGGCGAAGGCGACUACCUGGCCUGUUCUUGACGCUGAGGCGCGAAAGCUAGGGGAGCAAACGGG